AACUCGUUAAUCUAAUAGUCUGUCUCUAUACAAAAUCCACACUUCCCUAAACUUGCUUAUCAUGAUCUUUUGAUAUUCGCUUUUUCUUCCUUAAACAGAGGAGAGAUUGUAGAAUUUGAUUCCACUAGUUUCAAAUAUUUGUACACACACAAUCAACACAUAAACAAUGCCUCUCAACCAUUCAUUAUCACACAAAGGUAUUGCAAACGCAGGUGUUAGACAGGCUUCUCACCAGGCAGGUAAGAAGGAGAUCCACCUUCAAUUUG
RNAcentral lists this unclassified non-coding RNA (266 nucleotides) under Hevea brasiliensis (rubber tree). The record is from RNAcentral. Lineage: Eukaryota; Viridiplantae; Streptophyta; Magnoliopsida; Malpighiales; Euphorbiaceae.